RNAcentral lists this ribosomal RNA (406 nucleotides) under uncultured bacterium. Its description in RNAcentral is "partial 16S ribosomal RNA". It matches the Rfam family "Bacterial small subunit ribosomal RNA", at positions 30 to 526 of the family's 1533-position model. The record is from RNAcentral.
AUCGAACGCUGGCGGCAGGCCUAACACAUGCAAGUCGAACGAGUGGCGGACGGGUGAGUAAUGUCUGGGAAACUGCCUGCUGGCGGGGGAUGACUACUGGAAACGGUAGCUAAUACCGCAUACCACCAGAUGUUCCCUGAUGGGAUUAGCUAGUUGGUGGGGUAACGGCUAACCAAGGCGACCCUCCCUAGCUGGUCUGAGAGGAUGACCGGCCAAACUGGAACUGAGACACGGUCCAGACUCCUACGGGAGGAAGCAGUGGGGAAUAUUGCACAAUGGGCGAAAGCCUGAUGCAGCCAGGCCGCGUGUAUGAAGAAGGCCUUCGGGUUGUAAAGUACUUUCAGCGGGGAGGCGUUACCCGCAGAAGAAGCACCGGCUAACUCCGUGCCAGCAGCCGCGGUAAUAC